AUUCGUAUAGUUAAAUAAAUAACAUGAUUUUGAAGCAAUCAAAGUAGAAAAUAUUCUUGUGGAUA
RNAcentral lists this transfer RNA (65 nucleotides) under Opilio parietinus. Its description in RNAcentral is "tRNA-Phe". The record is from RNAcentral. Lineage: Eukaryota; Metazoa; Arthropoda; Arachnida; Opiliones; Phalangiidae.